UACGUAGGUGGCAAGCGUUGUCCGGAAUUACUGGGUGUAAAGGGAGCGUAGGCGGGAAUGCAAGUCAAGUGUUAAAACUAACGGCUCAACCGAUAGCUGCGCUUGAAACUGCAUCUCUUGAGUGAAGUAGAGGCAGGCGGAAUUCCUAGUGUAGCGGUGAAAUGCGUAGAUAUUAGGAGGAACACCAGUGGCGAAGGCGGCCUGCUGGGCUUUUACUGACGCUGAGGUUCGAAAGUGUGGGGAGCAAACAGGAUUAGAUACCCUGGUAGUCCACACUGUAAACGAUGAUUACUAGGUGUGGGGGGACUGACCCCUUCCGUGCCGGAGUUAACACAAUAAGUAAUCCACCUGGGAAGUACGGCCGCAAGGUUGAA
This 374-nucleotide ribosomal RNA is filed under the name uncultured bacterium. RNAcentral describes it as "bacterial SSU rRNA". It matches the Rfam family "Bacterial small subunit ribosomal RNA", at positions 524 to 898 of the family's 1533-position model. The record is from RNAcentral.